Molecule: ribosomal RNA, 1449 nt
Filed under: uncultured Bordetella sp.
Lineage: Bacteria; Pseudomonadati; Pseudomonadota; Betaproteobacteria; Burkholderiales; Alcaligenaceae
Description: partial 16S-23S ribosomal RNA intergenic spacer
Rfam family: Bacterial small subunit ribosomal RNA
Source: RNAcentral
AGUUCGACCGCGGCUCAGAUUGAACGGCGGGAUGUUUACACAUGCAAGUCGAACGGCAGCACGGACUUCGGUCCGGUGGUGAGCGGCGAACGGGUGAGUAAUGCAUAUCGUGGGAACGCCUAGUAGCGGGGGAUAACCACGGCGAAAGCGUAGCCAAUACGGCAUGGCCAACCCUCGGGGGAAAGCGGGGACCUUCGGCCUCGUGCAAUUAGAGCGGCCGAUAUCGGAUUAGCCAGCUGGUGGGGCAACGGCUCACCAAGGCGACGAUCCGUAGCUGGUUUGAGAGGACGACCAGCCACACUGGGACUGAGACACGGCCCAGACUCACGGGAAAGGCAGGGCUCUUGGACAAUGGGGAACCCGGAUCCGCGCCAUCCCGCGUGUGCGAUGAAGGCCUCUUGGGUUGUAAAGCACUUUUUGGCAGGAAAGAAACGGCAUCGGAUAGCACUUCGCAAGGUAACUGACGGUACCUGCAGAAUAAGCACUGGCUAACUACGUGCCAGCAGCCGCGGUAAUACGUAGGGGUGCAAGCGUUAAUCGGAAUUACUGAAGUAAAGCGUACGCAGGCGGUUCGAAAGAAAGAGCGAAAUCCCAGAGCUUAACUUUGGAACCAGUAUUUUUAACUACCGAGCUAGAGUGUACAGAGGGAGGUGGAAUUCCACGUAGCAGUGAAAUGCGUAUAUGCGGAGGAACACCUGAUGGCGAAGGCAGCCUCCUGGGAUAACACUGACGUUCAUGCACGAAAGCGUGGGAGCAAACAGGAUUAGGAGGUUUCGGUGCAGUCCACACCAAACGAUGUCAACUAUUGCUAGCCUCGGGCCUUUGGUAAGGCAGCUUAACGCGUGUUGACCGCCCGGGGAGACGUGGUCGUAAGAAACCAAAGAAUUGAUGCGACCGCACAAGCGGUGGAUGAUGUGAUUAAUUCAGAUGCAAACGCGAAAACCUACCUACCCUUGGCUGAUGGUCUGGAAUCCUUGGUGACGGGGAGUGCUCAAAGAAGAGAACCGGAACACAGGUGCUGUAUUGCUGUCGUCAGCUCGCCGUGAGAUGUUGGGUUGUCCUGCAACGAGCGCAACCUUGUCAUUAGUUGUUUACGAAAGGGCACUGUACGUGAGACUGCCGGUGACAAACCGGAGGAAGGUGAUGACGUCGUCCUCAUGGCCCUUAUGGGCAGGGCUUCACACGUCAUACAAUGGUCGGGACAGAUAUCGCCAACCCGCGAGGGGGAGCCAAUCCCAGAACCUGAUCGUAGUCCGGAUCGCAGUCUGCAACUCGACUGCGUGAAGUCGGAAUCGCUAGUAAUCGUGAUCAGCAUGUCGUAGAAUACGUUCCGGGUCUUGUACACCGCCCGUCACACCAUGGGAGGGUUUACCAGAAGUAGUUAGCCUAACCGUAAGGAGGGCGAUUACCACGGUAGGAUUCACGACUAGUGGUGUCGUAACAAGGUAG